This 253-nucleotide ribosomal RNA is filed under the name uncultured bacterium. RNAcentral describes it as "partial 16S ribosomal RNA". It matches the Rfam family "Bacterial small subunit ribosomal RNA", at positions 524 to 776 of the family's 1533-position model. The record is from RNAcentral.
UACGGGGGGGGCAAGCGUUGUUCGGAAUUACUGGGCGUAAAGCGCGCGUGGGCGGCUUUUCAAGUCGGGCGUGAAAGCCCCGGGCUUAACCCGGGAAUGGCGCUCGAUACUGUUGAGCUAGAGUGUGGAAGGGGCUACUGGAAUUCCGUGUGUAGCGGUGGAAUGCGUAGAGAUCCGGAAGAACACCGGUGGCGAAGGCGGCCUGCUGGGCAGUGGCUGACGCUGAGGCGCGACAGCGUGGGGAGCAAACAGG